Molecule: unclassified non-coding RNA, 348 nt
Filed under: Hevea brasiliensis (rubber tree)
Lineage: Eukaryota; Viridiplantae; Streptophyta; Magnoliopsida; Malpighiales; Euphorbiaceae
Source: RNAcentral
GCCCAUGCUAAUGCAAUCCAAGAGGAAAGGUCAGAGCAAUAUUAGCAUGCACUUAUUGGUUAAUCAACCUGCGGAUGUCCCUGACCAGACUGAAGUUUCCAUUUACAUUAACUUCAGCAGUCAGCAUCAGGGAACAAGCUUGUUAGACCUCUUCUAUUGCCAUUUAUCUUCUUUCCCAUGAAAUCGAGAGGCCACGCAAGAGCAGCCCAUUAUUCAGCUUCACCGAAGCAACACUUAAGAGCUCCAUCAAAAUAACUUUCAUCUUUUCCUUUCUUUCAAGGAGCCACCCUUUUAACUGAAUAAAUCGAACUGAAACGUCUUAAUUCGGUAAUUCAAUUCGAAUUUAAA